AUUGAACGCUGGCGGCAUGCCUUACACAUGCAAGUCGAACGGCAGCACGGGAGCAAUCCUGGUGGCGAGUGGCGAACGGGUGAGUAAUAUAUCGGAACGUGCCCAGUCGUGGGGAUAACGUAGCGAAAGCUACGCUAAUACCGCAUACGAUCUAUGGAUGAAAGCGGGGGGAUCGCAAGACCUCGCGCGAUUGGAGCGGCCGAUAUCAGAUUAGGUAGUUGGUGAGGUAAAGGCUCACCAGGCCGACGAUCUGUAGCUGGUCUGAGAGGACGACCAGCCACACUGGGACUGAGACACGGCCCAGACUCCUACGGGAGGCAGCAGUGGGGAAUUUUGGACAAUGGGCGCAAGCCUGAUCCAGCAAUGCCGCGUGCAGGAUGAAGGCCUUCGGU
Molecule: ribosomal RNA, 392 nt
Filed under: uncultured bacterium
Lineage: Bacteria
Description: bacterial SSU rRNA
Rfam family: Bacterial small subunit ribosomal RNA
Source: RNAcentral